AUUGAACGCUGGCGGCAUGCCUUACACAUGCAAGUCGAACGGCAGCACGGGUGCUUGCACCUGGUGGCGAGUGGCGAACGGGUGAGUAAUACAUCGGAACAUGUCCUGUAGUGGGGGAUAGCCCGGCGAAAGCCGGAUUAAUACCGCAUACGAUCUACGGAUUAAAGCGGGGGACCUUCGGGCCUCGCGCUAUAGGGUUGGCCGAUGGCUGAUUGGCUGGUUGGUGGGGUAAAGGCCUACCAAGGCGACGAUCAGUAGCUGGUCUGAGAGGACGACCAGCCACACUGGAACUGAGCCACGGCCCAGACUCCUACGGGAGGCCGCAGUGGGGAAUUUUGGACAAUGGGCGAAAGCCUGAUCCAGCAAUGCCGAGUGUGUGAAGAAGGCCUUCGGGUUGUAAAGCACUUUUGUCCGGAAAGAAAUCCUUGGCCCUAAUACGGUCGGGGGAUGACGGUACCGGAAGAAUAAGCACCGGCUAACUACGUG
RNAcentral lists this ribosomal RNA (486 nucleotides) under uncultured bacterium. Its description in RNAcentral is "partial 16S ribosomal RNA". It matches the Rfam family "Bacterial small subunit ribosomal RNA", at positions 30 to 507 of the family's 1533-position model. The record is from RNAcentral.